Molecule: ribosomal RNA, 458 nt
Filed under: uncultured bacterium
Lineage: Bacteria
Description: partial 16S ribosomal RNA
Rfam family: Bacterial small subunit ribosomal RNA
Source: RNAcentral
GACGAACGCUGGCGGCGUGCUUCAUACAUGCAAGUCGAACGAGAAGCUGACUUCGGUCAGUGGAAAGUGGCGGACGGGUGAGUAAUAUGUAGGAAAUCUGCCUUUAGGAGGGGGACAACAGAGGGAAACUUCUGCUAAUACCCCAUAUGAGCGUAGCUGACAUGCUAUUCUUGCAAACUCCGGUGCCUAAAGAUGGGCCUGCAUCUGAUUAGCUAGUUGGUAGUGUAAUGGACUACCAAGGCGACGAUCAGUAGCUGGUUUGAGGGGAUGAUCAGCCACAAUGGGACGGAGACACGGCCCAGACUCCUACGGGAGGCAGCAGUAGGGAAAUUUGCGCAAUGGGCGAAAGCCUGACGCAGCAACGCCGCGUGAACGAUUAAGCCCUUCGGGGUGAAAAGUUCUGUCAGUGGGGACGAAACUUGACGGUACCCACAGAGGAAGCACCGGCUAACUCCGUG